This 468-nucleotide ribosomal RNA is filed under the name uncultured bacterium. RNAcentral's name for it is "partial 16S ribosomal RNA". It matches the Rfam family "Bacterial small subunit ribosomal RNA", at positions 28 to 507 of the family's 1533-position model. The record is from RNAcentral.
GACGAACGCUGGCGGCGUGCUUAACACAUGCAAGUCGAACGGAAAGGCCCUGAGUUUGCGGGGUGCUCGAUUGGCGAACGGGUGAGUAACACGCGUGUAACCUGCCCUUGACAUUGGGGUAACUUUAGGAAACUGGGGCUAAUAUCCGAUAGGAGCUCCUGCUGCAUGUGGUGGGUUGGAGAGUUUCGGCGGUUGUGGAUGGACUAGCGGGUUAUCAGCUGCUUGGUCGGGUAGUGGCUGACCAAGGCUUCGACGGGUAGCCCGCCUGGGAGGGUGACCGGCCACAAUGGGACUGAGAUACGGCCCAGACUGCUACGGGAGGCAGCAGUGGGGAAUCUUGCACAAUGGGCGGAAGCGUGAUGCAGCAACGCCGCGUGCGGGAUGACGGCCUUCGGGUGGUAAACCGCUUUCGCCUGUGACGAAGCGUGAGUGACGGUAAUGGGUAAAGAAGCACCGGCUAACUACGUG